CACGUAGGGGGCGAGCGUUGUUCGGAAUUACUGGGCGUAAAGGGCAUGUAGGCGGUUUUGUAAGCCUGGCGUGAAAUUCUGCAGCUUAACUGUAGGACUGCGCUGGGAACUGCGAGACUGGAGUCACGGAGAGGGAGCCAGAAUUCCAGGUGUAGGGGUGAAAUCUGUAGAUAUCUGGAAGAAUACCAAUGGCGAAGGCAGGCUUCUGGCCGAUGACUGACGCUGAGGUGCGAAAGCGUGGGUAGCAAACAGGAUUAGAUACCCUGGUAGUCCACGCGGUAAACGAUGCACACUAGGUGCCGGGGCGGACGCUUCGGUGCCGGAGCCAACGUGGUAAGUGUGCCGCCUGGGGAGUAUGCUCGCAAGGGUGAA
RNAcentral lists this ribosomal RNA (372 nucleotides) under uncultured bacterium. RNAcentral describes it as "bacterial SSU rRNA". It matches the Rfam family "Bacterial small subunit ribosomal RNA", at positions 524 to 898 of the family's 1533-position model. The record is from RNAcentral.